This is a long non-coding RNA of Eptesicus fuscus (big brown bat), 311 nucleotides long. RefSeq lists it as uncharacterized. Lineage: Eukaryota; Metazoa; Chordata; Mammalia; Chiroptera; Vespertilionidae. The record is from RefSeq and is a predicted model, not a curated record. The transcript has 2 exons.
AUCCUAGCGAUCUCUUCUGAGCAUGAAUCACUUGGCACCGUCAAUGUUUUCCAUCUGUUUUUAAAACCCGAACUCCUUCCUGUUAGGGUGAACUACCCCUAAUCUCUCCUGCUUAGACAUGUUUUCUGAAAUAUGUAUUGUUAUAAGCCUUUUCCCCUAGCUUGGGGCAGACGGCCGGCACCUGCAGAAGCAAGCCCAUCUUGCCUGCUGAACUAUGACUCCAUGAAGGCAAAGAUUUUUAUCUUCUUGUUCAUGGUUUUGUCCCUCCUAGCAUACAAUAGGCACCCAGUAAAGAUUUUUAAUUAAUUAAA